AACGAACGCUGGCGGCACGCCUAACACAUGCAAGUCGAACGAAGCAUAAGAGCUUGCUCUUAUAACUGAGUGGCGCACGGGUGAGUAACACGUGGGAAUCUGCCUAUUGGUGGGGAAUAACUUUUGGAAACGAAAGCUAAUACCGCAUAAGCCCUAAGGGGGAAAGAUUUAUCGCGAAUAGAUGAGCCCGCGAUAGAUUAGCUAGUUGGUGAGGUAAGAGCUCACCAAGGCUACGAUCUAUAGCUGGUCUGAGGGGAUGGUCAGCCACACUGGGACUGAGACACGGCACAGACUCCUACGGGGGGCAGCAGUGGGGAAUAUUGGACAAUGGGGGAAACCCUGAUCCAGCGAUGCCGCGUGAGUGAAGAAGGCCUUCGGGUUGUAAAGCUCUUUCAGAGGGGAUGAUAAUGACGGUACCCUCAGAAGAAGCACCGGCUAACUUCGUGCCAGCCGCCGCCGUAA
This 462-nucleotide ribosomal RNA is filed under the name uncultured bacterium. Its description in RNAcentral is "partial 16S ribosomal RNA". It matches the Rfam family "Bacterial small subunit ribosomal RNA", at positions 29 to 523 of the family's 1533-position model. The record is from RNAcentral.